AAAGAAAAAGUUGCAUACCAAUUGCUCUCCUUAAGAAGUUUCCACAUACAAUAGUAAGACAAGUCAUAGACUAUUAUGGAAAUGUCAUGGGCGUUCAAAGGAGAGAGAGAGAGAGAUGACACACGUUUGAGAGAAUCAGGAAAGGGGGUGGCAUAUCAAUGAUCCUUGAGGUAUAAUUAGGAUUUCAAAAUUUAAAGUGGGUAGGUAUAUCCAGGUUAAACUAAGAUCAUAAACAGGGGUGUCAAAAGAUUCAGUACAAUCAAAGGACUAGUUACUUUAGGCUGAAACACGGGGCUAGGGAUGUGAAGAGCUAGAGCUGUGAAGGGAUGAAAUGUGGGGUGGCACCAUACUGGCAGUGGCCAGGUUCUUCGUAGGCAAAAGGCUGAUGAUUUAGGAGCAGGUCUAUGGCAUAAGAAGAAGAUUGUUGCAGCAGAAAUGCCAGAAGCACUGGAAGAUGUAAGCGCCCAAGAGUGGGAAGACCAGUUCGGAUAAGUUAUUGCAGUUUUCAGUAACAGAUGAUAAAGGCCUGCAGUCAGGAGAGCAGAGGGAAUUCAGAGAGCACACGGGACAGGGACAGCAAGAAUCCAGAGUGCGACAGGAGACCUUGAUAGCCAGAGAGCCAGAGUCACUGGAAAUGAUGGAGCUCUACGACUUCCCCCAGAUCUCUCUACUAACUGGGCUUUUCCUUCUCAACCUGGCCCAGCGGUCAUCCCCACGCUGCAACUCUGACCCUCCCACAGGAAGGACCCUCGCAGGUCAGAUUCCGAGGCCGCGGCACCCCACCCGCGGGAUCCCCUAUCGCCCGCG
This 807-nucleotide long non-coding RNA is filed under the name Cricetulus griseus (Chinese hamster). Its description in RNAcentral is "lncRNA (ENSCGRG00000025125.1)". Lineage: Eukaryota; Metazoa; Chordata; Mammalia; Rodentia; Cricetidae. The record is from RNAcentral.